Molecule: ribosomal RNA, 519 nt
Filed under: uncultured bacterium
Lineage: Bacteria
Description: bacterial SSU rRNA
Rfam family: Bacterial small subunit ribosomal RNA
Source: RNAcentral
GAGUUUGAUCCUGGCUCAGGACGAACGCUGGCGGCGUGCCUAACACAUGCAAGUCGAACGGAACUGUUUUGAAAGAUUUCUUCGGAAUGAAUUUGAUUUAGUUUAGUGGCGGACGGGUGAGUAACGCGUGAGUAACCUGCCUUCAAGAGGGGGAUAACAUUCUGAAAAGGAUGCUAAUACCGCAUGACAUAUCGGAACCACAUGGUUCUGAUAUCAAAGAUUUUAUCGCUUGAAGACGGACUCGCGUCCGAUUAGUUAGUUGGUGAGGUAACGGCUCACCAAGACCGCGAUCGGUAGCCGGACUGAGAGGUUGAACGGCCACAUUGGGACUGAGACACGGCCCAGACUCCUACGGGAGGCAGCAGUGGGGAAUAUUGCACAAUGGGGGAAACCCUGAUGCAGCGACGCCGCGUGAAGGAAGAAGUAUCUCGGUAUGUAAACUUCUAUCAGCAGGGAAGAUAAUGACGGUACCUGACUAAGAAGCCCCGGCUAACUACGUGCCAGCCGCCGCGGUAAUAC